GACGAACGCUGGCGGCGUGCUUAACACAUGCAAGUCGAACGGAAAGGCCCUGCUUUUGUGGGGUGCUCGAGGGGCGAACGGGUGAGUAACACGUGAGUAACCUGCCCUUGACUUUGGGAUAACUUCAGGAAACUGGGGCUAAUACCGGAUAGGAGCUCCUGCUGCAUGGUGGGGGUUGGAAAGUUUCGGCGGGUGGGGAUGGACUCGCGGCUUAUCAGCUUGUUGGUGGGGUAGUGGCUUACCAAGGCUUUGACGGGUAGCCGGCCCGAGAGGGUGACCGGCCACAUUGGGACUGAGAUACGGCCCAGACUCCUACGGGAGGCAGCAGUGGGGAAUAUUGCACAAUGGGCGGAAGCCUGAUGCAGCAACGCCGCGUGCGGGAUGACGGCCUUCGGGUUGUAAACCGCUUUCGCCUGUGACGAAGCGUGAGUGACGGUAAUGGGUAAAGAAGCACCGGCUAACUACGUG
Molecule: ribosomal RNA, 468 nt
Filed under: uncultured bacterium
Lineage: Bacteria
Description: partial 16S ribosomal RNA
Rfam family: Bacterial small subunit ribosomal RNA
Source: RNAcentral